This 70-nucleotide transfer RNA is filed under the name Ips calligraphus. RNAcentral's name for it is "tRNA-Trp". Lineage: Eukaryota; Metazoa; Arthropoda; Insecta; Coleoptera; Curculionidae. The record is from RNAcentral.
AAGAAUUUAAGUUAAAAAAACUCUUAGCCUUCAAAGCUAAAAAUAGAGAUUGCCCACCCCCUAAUUCUUA